UCAAGCAGCCACGUGGAGGAUGGGCUGUGACGUGGCUGCGUCUUAAACCAUAGGAUUCACUGAGGAAAGGAAAAGUCCUCAAACUCUCCCACGGCGCAGGCAGAAGACACAGCAAAGGAGCAGCAGGCUGAGUUGGCUGACACCAUGAAUAUUCCCACAUGGGUGAUGCCCUGGGCCCUUUUUCAGCCACCCUGGUCCCUGCACACCAGGGCUGGCCCCUCUGAUGACUUCCUUCUUCUCCCCAGGAAGUGCUGGCCUAUUCCAACAGCUCAGCUCGAGGCCGUGCAUUUCUAGAACACCUGACUGACCUGUCCAUCCGCGGCACCCUCUUUGUGCCACAGAACAGUGGGCUGGGGGAGAAUGAGACUCUGUCUGGGCAGGACAUCGAGCACCACCUCGCCAAUGUCAGCAUGUUUUUCUACAAUGACCUUGUCAAUGGCACCACCCUGCAAACGAGGCUGGGAAGCAAGCUGCUCAUCACCGCCAGCCAGGAUCCACUCCAACCGACGGAGACCAGGUUUGUUGAUGGAAGAGCCAUUCUGCAGUGGGACAUCUUUGCCU
This 561-nucleotide small RNA is filed under the name Pongo abelii (Sumatran orangutan). RNAcentral describes it as "retained intron". Lineage: Eukaryota; Metazoa; Chordata; Mammalia; Primates; Hominidae. The record is from RNAcentral.